This 256-nucleotide ribosomal RNA is filed under the name uncultured bacterium. Its description in RNAcentral is "partial 16S ribosomal RNA". It matches the Rfam family "Bacterial small subunit ribosomal RNA", at positions 521 to 776 of the family's 1533-position model. The record is from RNAcentral.
UAAUACAGAGACUGCAAGCGUUAUUCGGAUUCACUGGGCGUAAAGGGUGCGCAGGCGGCCAAGUGUGUCAGGUGUGAAAUCCCGGGGCUUAACUCCGGAACUGCGCCUGAAACUACUUGGCUAGAGCAUUGGAGAGGGAAGUGGAAUUCACGGUGUAGCAGUGAAAUGCGUAGAUAUCGUGAGGAACACCAGAGGCGAAGGCGACUUCCUGGACAAUUGCUGACGCUCAGGCACGAAAGCGUGGGGAGCCAAAGGG